Molecule: ribosomal RNA, 253 nt
Filed under: uncultured bacterium
Lineage: Bacteria
Description: partial 16S ribosomal RNA
Rfam family: Bacterial small subunit ribosomal RNA
Source: RNAcentral
UACGUAGGGUGCGAGCGUUGUCCGGAAUUACUGGGCGUAAAGAGUUCGUAGGCGGUUUGUCGCGUCGUCUGUGAAAACCCAUCGCUCAACGAUGGGCCGGCAGGCGAUACGGGCAGACUUGAAUACUGCAGGGGAGACUGGAAUUCCUGGUGUAGCGGUGAAAUGCGCAGAUAUCAGGAGGAACACCGGUGGCGAAGGCGGGUCUCUGGGCAGUAACUGACGCUGAGGAACGAAAGCGUGGGUAGCAAACAGG